ACCACCAAAUUCAAUUAAACUACGCUACUUGACUUGCAUCAAAACACUAUGUAUUAGUUUCGAAUCUUAUCUCGCCUCCUUCGACAAUUCGUCUGUGUGUGAGUUGCAGCAAAGAUUUAACAAAAUCAGAUGGUUUAACCACGUUGUUGAUGUUGCUUCUGUGGCGGGAGCGGCGACGGCGGCAGAUCUUUGACAUGACGGCGAAGUAGAAGAGGAGGAGGAAGGCGGCGGCGAGGACGACGAUGAGAGCGGCCAUGAGAGGGAGAUGUGAGAAGAGGAGCCGUCAUCAUCACCGCCUCCUUCGUCGGGGUUGAGGAAGAGAGGUGGUGAUGGUGGAGGGAAUGGGGAGAAUUGAACUACAGUACGAAGAGAAAGCCCUGUUUGUAAAUUCUCACAAGGACCCGGUAAAAACCCAACCUAACACUUUAACAAUCCAUUUAUUUAUUAACCCUUUAAGAGCCCUGCCCAUUAAUAAAAAUAAAGGGCUGGGCCCGUUUUAAAAAGGGCUGGACCCGGGCUUUAAAUAGGCCUCCAGUCCAUUGAACAGGUAUAACGAGUAGAUACCCCUACUUGAUAUAUCCGUGUACAACCAACUUAGCUGUACCUCCGUCGAAAAUGACGAGCAGCUUGAAUUUAUUAAAAAAAAAUAAAAAAGCUAUAUCACGUGCUCUCUUUUUAACAAAAAAAUUGCAUAUAAAUUUUCCAAAUAUCAGAAACCUCUCAUUUUUGUUUUCUCACUGUCCAAAAGUUUCUCUCUCCUCAUUUGUAUGUGAGUUUUUUUCUAAUCUCGAGUAACAAUGUCAAUUGGAGAAUCCGUUUGCGUUUGCGCCGCCCUUAUCUUUCACAAGAAUGAUGUCGUUGCCACUAGCUUCCUUGGCUGCAGGUAGGGUUGCAAGAUCGUUUCCUCUGGCGUUUAACCACCUCGAUAAGCUUUGUUUGACACAACUUGACUUCAGUGUUGCAUAUGUACGUCGUUUUGUUUUUGGCAUCAAGGAUCUUGAAAUUUCAGUUAAACCAAACACUGAUACUUUUCAGCACAAAAUUGACUGGAAUGACAACUACAAGUUGAGCCAUCUUACUAGAGUGAAAUUUACAGGAAUUACUACAAGUUGAGCCAUCUUACUAGAGUGAAAUUUACAGGAAUUACUACAAGUUGAGCCAUCUUACUAGAGUGAAAUUUACAGGAAUUACAGGAUCAACUGCAGAAUUGGAACUAAUUGAGUACGAGCUUGCAAUUUCAGAAGCACUAGAAAUUUUUCUCUUCGAGUGUGGAUAUAUUGAUGACAGUUCUGAGCUAAAGAAGUCUAGAGAUCUGUUGAGGCUUCGGAGAGCAUCAACAAAGGCUCAACUUGUUUGUUUGGAGUAACAGAAGGUCUAAGAAUGGUCAUUUCAGAUCUGACAAUUAUAUUGCUGGUAAACUUUGGUAAUGUACUUUUCAUUGAAAUUUUCAUGACUGAUAAAAAAAACAUAUAUUGCAGAAACAAACUGCAGCACAAAGUGCAAUUUCAAUGUCAUCUUAUUUGUACGAAUAUCUAUCUUAAACGUGUUAGUGGACUAGACGUCUAACGUCUGAGACAUGUAUAAUUCACCAGAAGGAUUUCUUCCAUUUUUCUGAAUUUUCA
RNA transcript from Spinacia oleracea (spinach), 1622 nucleotides. RefSeq lists it as uncharacterized. The record is from RefSeq and is a predicted model, not a curated record. Lineage: Eukaryota; Viridiplantae; Streptophyta; Magnoliopsida; Caryophyllales; Amaranthaceae. The transcript is spliced from 3 exons.